Molecule: long non-coding RNA, 515 nt
Organism: Marmota monax (woodchuck)
Lineage: Eukaryota; Metazoa; Chordata; Mammalia; Rodentia; Sciuridae
Exons: 3
Source: RefSeq, a predicted model, not a curated record
AAAGGUCAGUAGCGGAAGCGCAGAAGCCCGCCCCCUCCUCGCUGGCUGCGGUCAGGAUUGGACAAUGCUCAGCAAGACUCCUGAUUGGUCGGAGCUUCAGUCAGUUUCCUGCUCCCCAGCCUGAGCCGGUGAACCUUCUUUUUGAGUGACGGGAUGAUAUCCACUCCGGGCAAGAAUGAGGCCAGAAUGACAGGUUUUCUUUUCUUUUCUUUUUUCUUUUUCAUUUUAGACCUGGGAAUUGCACCCCAGAGCCUCAGGCUGCUGCUAUUUUAAGAUCUCAGAAGUGGGAUCUAGCCCAACUACAGAACAUUUGCAUUUAACCUUGUAUAUAAGCAUAUGGAAGCAUAGCAGCCAAGUUCCAAAUUUGUGAUCUGUGGAAGCCCUUACAUCAAAGAGGUUCCUCACAGGGGCAAAUGCUUGGAGACUAUAGGUUGCACGAAAGCACAUCACAGGGCCCAAAAUCUGAGUAUGGCUCAGGGAAGAAAAAAUCUAAAUGGCUGAUAAUGAACUGAAAG